This 425-nucleotide ribosomal RNA is filed under the name uncultured rumen bacterium. Its description in RNAcentral is "bacterial SSU rRNA". It matches the Rfam family "Bacterial small subunit ribosomal RNA", at positions 354 to 776 of the family's 1533-position model. The record is from RNAcentral.
GUGAGGAAUAUUGGACAAUGGCCGGAAGGCUGAUCCAGCCAUGCCGCGUGAAGGAUUAAGGUCCUAUGGAUUGUAAACUUCUUUUGAGUGGGAGCAAUAAGGGUGUCGAGACACCCGAUGAGAGUACCAUUUGAAUAAGCAUCGGCUAACUCCGUGCCAGCAGCCGCGGUAAUACGGAGGAUGCGAGCGUUAUCCGGAUUUAUUGGGUUUAAAGGGUGCGUAGGCGGUUUGUCAAGUCAGCGGUGAAACGCAAGGGCUUAACCCUUGACCUGCCGUUGAAACUGAUUGACUAGAAUGCGGAUGCUGUGGGAGGAAUGUGUGGUGUAGCGGUGAAAUGCAUAGAUAUCACACAGAACACCGAUUGCGAAGGCAUCUCACAAAUCCGUGAUUGACGCUGAGGCACGAAAGUGUGGGGAUCAAACAGG